RNAcentral lists this non-coding RNA (21 nucleotides) under Arabidopsis thaliana (thale cress). The record is from RNAcentral. Lineage: Eukaryota; Viridiplantae; Streptophyta; Magnoliopsida; Brassicales; Brassicaceae.
AACCCUAGGUGCUGGUGGCGG